AUAAGGAUAGAUGUUUGAGUCUUCCCUCUCACCCUCAUUUCUCUCUUUCUCUCCACGUCUCUUCUCUCUCUCUGUAAUCUAUCCAACCACCCUGCUCUCUCCCUCCGUUCAGCUACACACCUCAGCCCCGAAAUCGCCGACAAAGUCGUCGGGAUGCCGAAAGCGCACAUAGCUUACCCAAGUUCCAAUUCCCAUUAGUUUAUCUCCAUAUCAGAAAUUGAAAUUCAAACCCACAUCAAACCAAUAUCCAAAAUAGGUGAAGUGGGAGAGUAUAGAAGCGAGUGAACUCGCUAGUUGGCAGCAGCACGUGUCAAGUCACCACCUCCUUUUUUUGCUGGUUCAGUCGGAGUUUACACGUGGCAUGCUUAGGUUAUCUUUUGUUGUAAAUAGUUGGGUUACAAACGUAAGGUUAUAACAUUCUUUUUGCUAGUGGAGUUGUAUAUAUCUAUCUAAACAGGUUAAUGUUAUUUUGUUAUGUAUAGUUGUAAUCAGUUGUGUUAUCAGGUUUAGUUACUUAUAUGAUAGUGUUGUUAUGAUGAGUGUUUGCAAAAUGAUUAAAAAAAAUAGGCAGGUUUUAUUUAUCGAUCGUACCGAAAGGUAACAUCACUUAUUUGGUUAAAACUAACCGAGUAAGGGGUGUUACAUGUAAUGUAUAAGUAUAAUUGUAUAAUGCACUAUAUGUGAUCGGUAAUGUA
Molecule: long non-coding RNA, 695 nt
Organism: Salvia splendens (bonfire salvia)
Lineage: Eukaryota; Viridiplantae; Streptophyta; Magnoliopsida; Lamiales; Lamiaceae
Exons: 2
Source: RefSeq, a predicted model, not a curated record